CAUGCGUCGCAUUAGCUAGUUGGCGGGGUAACGGCCCACCAAGGCGACGAUGCGUAGGGGUUCUGAGAGGAAGGUCCCCCACACUGGUACUGAGACACGGACCAGACUCCUACGGGAGGCAGCAGUGAGGAAUAUUGGUCAAUGGCCGCAGGGCUGAACCAGCCAAGUCGCGUGAGGGAUGACGGUCCUAUGGAUUGUAAACCUCUUUUGUCAGGGAGCAAAGGGCGCCACGUGUGGCGCUUUGCGAGUACCUGAAGAAAAAGCAUCGGCUAACUCCGUGCCAGCAGCCGCGGUAAUACGGAGGAUGCGAGCGUUAUCCGGAUUUAUUGGGUUUAAAGGGUGCGCAGGCGGAAUGUCAAGUCAGCGGUAAAAUUUCGGGGCUCAACCCCGUCGUGCCGUUGAAACUGGCGUUCUUGAGUGAGCGAGAAGUAUGCGGAAUGCGUGGUGUAGCGGUGAAAUGCAUAGAUAUCACGCAGAACUCCGAUUGCGAAGGCAGCAUACCGGCGCUCAACUGACGCUCAUGCACGAAAGCGUGGGUAUCGAACAGGAUUAGAUACCCUGGUAGUCCACGCAGUAAACGAUGAAUACUAACUGUCCGGGCAGAAUGAUGCCUGG
This 615-nucleotide ribosomal RNA is filed under the name uncultured bacterium. RNAcentral describes it as "bacterial SSU rRNA". It matches the Rfam family "Bacterial small subunit ribosomal RNA", at positions 230 to 842 of the family's 1533-position model. The record is from RNAcentral.